CUCACCUGCUCGCCCUCCCCCUUUUAACCCUCUCUCCUCCGCAGCAAACCCUAGCAUCCUCCCUCCCUCGCGCCGCCACCCUUCUCCUCUUCAUCUCCCUCGAUUUUCUUCUUCUCUGUGAACCAACGAACAACACUGGCACCCUCCUCCUCAUCAUGGCGUCGCCGCUGUAGACCUUCCCUUGCUGAGAUGAGACCACCAGAAGAUGCGCCUCGUCGUCCUCUUCGUCUGGGUACAAGGAAUCGAGCCGGGACCUCCUAAAUCAAGCGCAAGGUCGCCGUUUCUCCUCCAUGGCCGCCAUGCUCCGGCGUCGAUUCCGGCCGCCCUCGUCCUCCUCCGGCCAAACCAAGCACACCACCGGCUUCCUCAUGUUCAGCCGCACGUCCGCCACCAUCUCGUUCGUCCAGGUUUGCCUGGAGGCUCCAGAUCUUUGCUCGCCUGAGCCGUCCGCCAUGGUUGGUUCUUCCCAGAUGUUCCGCCGUGGUCGGGUUCAAAAAGGGCGCUUCCCUUUUCUCAGCACAAGCAUCUAUCUACUGCAGUGAUCUUGGGCAUCCAUGCUUCAGUUUACGUGGAGGCUUUCCAUAUUCAAAACCACCAGGCAGCCUAGCUGAUCCGUUGAUGGGCCUAGCCCAGUUCUACCCGGCGCAGCUCGCUCACCACGCGGCCCGAAUUAACCGUCGCCGAUGCACAGCAGAUCCGGCCCAGGACAUUGCAGCAUUUGCUUCUUCCCGGAUAGGAUCGCGAAGUGGUGUGGUGAGUUACG
Molecule: long non-coding RNA, 763 nt
Organism: Lolium rigidum
Lineage: Eukaryota; Viridiplantae; Streptophyta; Magnoliopsida; Poales; Poaceae
Exons: 4
Source: RefSeq, a predicted model, not a curated record